GAUGAACGCUGGCGGCGUGCCUAAUACAUGCAAGUCGAACGGACAGACGCUGAGCUUGCUCCUUUGACGUUAGCGGCGGACGGGUGUGUAACGCGUGGAUCCCCUCCUUAUAAUUCUGGGAUCACUUCGGGACACCGGCUCUAAUACCGGAUAAUAUAUUGAACCGCAUGGUUCAAUAGUGAAUGACGGUUUUGCUGUCUCUAAUAGCUGGAUCGGCGCCGGAUUAGCUGGUUGGUAAGGUAACGGCUUACCAAGGCGACGAUGCGUAGCCGACCUGAGAGGGUGAUCGGCCACACUGGAACUGAGACACGGUCCAGACUCCUACGGGAGGCAGCAGUAGGGAAUCUUCGGCAAUGGGCGAAAGCCUGACGGAGCAACGCCGCGUGAGUGAUGAAGGUCUUCGGAUCGUAAAGCCCUGUUAUUGGGGAAGAACAGCUGUGGAAUUAAAUAUGGACGUCUUGACGGUACCGAAUCAGAAAGCACCGGCUAACUACGUG
RNAcentral lists this ribosomal RNA (497 nucleotides) under uncultured bacterium. Its description in RNAcentral is "partial 16S ribosomal RNA". It matches the Rfam family "Bacterial small subunit ribosomal RNA", at positions 28 to 507 of the family's 1533-position model. The record is from RNAcentral.